Long non-coding RNA from Monodelphis domestica (gray short-tailed opossum), 350 nucleotides. The record is from Ensembl. Lineage: Eukaryota; Metazoa; Chordata; Mammalia; Didelphimorphia; Didelphidae.
UCCAGAGUCAUCAAAAUCCAGUGGCAGGAUGAAAGGAUGGCACAGGAUGUAGUGCAUGACCUUGGUGUCUUCAGUGUCUGACCAAGUCUCAAGUACUUCCUGACUGUUUCUCAUUGGACCAUCCUGAUACUCCUCUAAUUUACCAAUAGAAAAAGACGGAGAGACAGAUGUCAUGUCUUAUUCUUGGUCUGGAAAAAUCAACUUCACAAGUAGAAGAUGCGGGAGGUAUGAUCAGAGCAUUUUUUUUUCUGAAAAAGAUGUCAGGGCACAAAAUCAACUUCAUAAAUACAGAAUCAGUAAAAGGAUCAUCUGCAAGAUGGAAGACACAUUUCUCUGAGGAUUCCUGAGAG